CAAUGAAAUAAAUAAAACCUCUGUCAUUCUCUGGUGCUGACAACAUCCUGGAAUGUAUCUACAGCUCCAGGGACGCCAUUUUGUCCUGAGAGGAAGCCAGCUUCCUCCCUCAGGAAGGAAACCCAGGCCAAGAGGACGGAAUGGUUACUCAUGUCAUGCGUGCUCAGUGGCUGCCCAUCUCAGCAUCAGCGGUAUGAACAGAGCACUCUGGAGGGGCAGGGAGAGGUGGCUUUGUGGGUAGUGGGAUGCCACCUUCACUGUCCUUCAGUCCAAUAGGACAUGUAGCAAAUGUAAAUAAAUCCAGUGACAACACAUGAA
Long non-coding RNA from Homo sapiens (human), 318 nucleotides. RefSeq lists it as uncharacterized. The record is from RefSeq and is a predicted model, not a curated record. The transcript has 2 exons. NCBI's taxonomy places the organism in Eukaryota, Metazoa, Chordata, Mammalia, Primates, Hominidae.